AUGUGAAUUGCAGAAUUCAGUGAAUCAUCGAAUCUUUGAACGCACCUUGCGCUCCUUGGUAUUCCGAGGAGCAUGCCUGUUUGAGUGUCAUCAAAUUCUCAACCUUUCCGGCUUUUGCUAGCCGUGUCAGGCUUGGAUGUGGGGGCUGCGGGCUUC
This 156-nucleotide ribosomal RNA is filed under the name Tricholomella constricta. RNAcentral describes it as "5.8S ribosomal RNA". The stretch from base 1 to 90 matches the Rfam family "5.8S ribosomal RNA", at positions 65 to 154 of the family's 154-position model. From Rfam's summary of the family: 5.8S ribosomal RNA (5.8S rRNA) is a component of the large subunit of the eukaryotic ribosome. Lineage: Eukaryota; Fungi; Basidiomycota; Agaricomycetes; Agaricales; Lyophyllaceae. The record is from RNAcentral.